Molecule: ribosomal RNA, 438 nt
Filed under: Aeromonas sp. AER58-VDL-08/MCRF
Lineage: Bacteria; Pseudomonadati; Pseudomonadota; Gammaproteobacteria; Aeromonadales; Aeromonadaceae
Description: bacterial SSU rRNA
Rfam family: Bacterial small subunit ribosomal RNA
Source: RNAcentral
CAUGCAAGUCGAGCGGCAGCGGGAAAGUAGCUUGCUACUUUUGCCGGCGAGCGGCGGACGGGUGAGUAAUGCCUGGGAAAUUGCCCAGUCGAGGGGGAUAACAUUUGGAAACGACUGCUAAUACCGCAUACGCCCUACGGGGGAAAGCAGGGGACCUUCGGGCCUUGCGCGAUUGGAUAUGCCCAGGUGGGAUUAGCUAGUUGGUGAGGUAAUGGCUCACCAAGGCGACGAUCCCUAGCUGGUCUGAGAGGAUGAUCAGCCACACUGGAACUGAGACACGGUCCAGACUCCUACGGGAGGCAGCAGUGGGGAAUAUUGCACAAUGGGGGAAACCCUGGUGCAGCCAUGCCGCGUGUGUGAAGAAGGCCUUCGGGUUGUAAAGCACUUUCAGCCAGGAGGAAAGGUUGGCGCCUAAUACGUGUCAACUGUGACGUUACU